RNAcentral lists this ribosomal RNA (305 nucleotides) under uncultured bacterium. RNAcentral's name for it is "partial 16S ribosomal RNA". It matches the Rfam family "Bacterial small subunit ribosomal RNA", at positions 335 to 657 of the family's 1533-position model. The record is from RNAcentral.
GACCUACGGGACGCCGCAGUGGGGCCUCUUGCACCCUUUUUUCCCCCCUGCUGCAGCGACGCCGCGUGAGUGAAGAAGUAUUUCGGUAUGUAAAGCUCUAUCAGCAGGGAAGAAGAAGGACGGUACCUGAGUAAGAAGCCCCGGCUAACUACGUGCCAGCAGCCGCGGUAAUACGUAGGGGGCAAGCGUUAUCCGGAUUUACUGGGUGUAAAGGGAGCGUAGACGGCGAAGAAAGUCUGAAGUGAAAGCCCGCGGCUCAACCGCGGAAUGGCUUUGGAAACUUUUUUGCUGGAGUACCGGAGAGG